AAAACAUCGCUCUUUGAAAAGAAUACUAAGACAUAAAGAGUCCUGCCUGCCCAGUGACAGAAGUUAAACGGCCGCGGUAUUUUGACCGUGCAAAGGUAGCAUAAUCAUUUGCCUUUUAAAUGGAGGCUGGUAUGAAUGGCAAGACGGAAGUUUAACUGUCUCUCUUUUAGGAACUUGAAUUUAUCAUCUUCGUGAAGAGGCGGAGAUAAAAUCGUAGGACGAGAAGACCCUGUCGAGCUUAAGCUAUAGAUUAGAGUUAUAAUGUUUUUGUUUCCGGGCUAAUUUAAGAAUAAAUUGGUUUUACUCGGGAGUGAAAGUUUUCUGUUAAUCAGUUGUUUUGGUUGGGGCAACCACGGAGAAAACAAACCCUCCGUUAAAAAAUUAAAGAAAAAGUUAUUGUUUUGGAAGAUUUUUAGAUUAAAAAAUGAUCCACUAAAAAGUGAUCAAAGGAACAAGUUACCGCAGGGAUAACAGCGUAAUUUUUUUGGAGAGUUCAUAUUGAUAAAAAAGUUUGCGACCUCGAUGUUGGAUCGGGACUUCCAGGAGAUGCAGCAGUUUCCAAGGGUUGGUCUGUUCGACCAUUAAAGUCCUACGUGAUCUGAGUUCAGACCGG
Molecule: ribosomal RNA, 613 nt
Filed under: Astropecten verrilli
Lineage: Eukaryota; Metazoa; Echinodermata; Asteroidea; Paxillosida; Astropectinidae
Description: partial 16S ribosomal RNA
Rfam family: Bacterial large subunit ribosomal RNA
Source: RNAcentral